This 1608-nucleotide unclassified non-coding RNA is filed under the name Bombus terrestris (buff-tailed bumblebee). RNAcentral describes it as "misc RNA ENSBTSG00005025693.1". The record is from RNAcentral. Lineage: Eukaryota; Metazoa; Arthropoda; Insecta; Hymenoptera; Apidae.
CCGACCGAAAAUAAAGCCGGUCGGUAUCGCGCCAAUCGCGUAAAUCACAAUAAAAGCCGGACAGCCGGCCAUGAUUAUCCUCUCCGUCCCGUGACAGAGAUGCGACGGCACUUCACGUCGCGUCGGAUGGAAACGCCUCGAGCGUUCUCGUCGGACAGCAGUCCAUCCUCUUGGCCCCGCUUCAAAACCGAAGUCUGGAUUUUCAAGGAUUAUAUUUCACUUGGUAAAACGUUGAAGAGCUACGCGACCGCAGUUUCAGCGUGUUACGAGAGAGGCAAAUUGAUUCUUGCAACAGGGCAGAUGCUAUCAAAUGGGAUACAGGGGCGAGAGGGAAACGAAAUCGAUGGAUGAAUCGAAGAAACAGCGGAAAAAUCAAGGGAAAAGAAGCCUCCUCUGAAUUCCAGACCAAUCGUCCGCGGAAUUGCAGCGAUCUGCGCGACCAGGGAUUACUCGUGGAAACCAAUCGGCUCCUUUCAACCGAUUGAAUCGGUCGACAGAACGGUUCUCUCGGUGAAUUAAACGGAAAUCCUAACCAAGAAUUUGGCUGGCCGGAGGGAAAACCGGAUAAGAAUGAUCGUAAAUAUCGCACGAGGACGAAGGAACCAUUGGUACCACCGAACGUUCGCACGGCACAAUUUCCGCGUCGAACCGGAAGCCAUGCUGGCGUUCGUGCAGAAACACGGCAAAUCAAGGAAAGAAUGCGGUAGCGUUGACAAAGAGCGACGAAAACGACCAGCAAGAAACCCAUCCGUUUUCUGAAAAGCUUCUCGUCAAAGAAAUUCCUCCUGCCUAAACUGAAGAACCAGAACGCUCCUCAAAAGUUCGUCGAAACUUUUUAAAACGAAGAACAAUACUCUUCGCGAUCAUACAGAUAUACCAGUCGUUGCGCUCUAUCCAAAUGAUACUUAAACACACCUGUGUUGCGGCACAAGAUGACGAUAGACGGUGUAAAAUCUUCGAACCGAACUAUUUAUUCUACGAAUAAAUUGUUCCAAAUCCAAGAGGCAGGAACAAGAGCUGUAUUCUGCUUCUGAAGAAGCGAUUGUCCUCGAGCGUGUCAUAAGCCUGGUUUACGCUUUAGCUCUCUUUCGAACGAUAUAACGUUAUAAGCCUCGACCAUCGUCUAUGCAGUUCGGAAUUUGAUUCACGAUUCCUUUGAGCAGCGAAUCUAGAAUAAAAGAGAACAAAACCGAAAGAGACAAAAAGAGCGAAAGAAAGGGAAAGACAGAAGGAUAGAAGAGGAUGGCUGCGAAAUCGAGCACGAUUCGCGCGUUAAGAAGCACCCACACGGUCACCCUUGACGAAAUAAAGAACCAGAUGGUGGUGAGCGACGAAGGGGAAAGGGGAAAGGGGAAAGAGGAAAGAGGAGAACAGGCUUUAGCGGGGCCAGAACACUCCAGCACGAGGGUCUGGAUUACGCGGCGAGCGUGAAACGUGCCAAGAGGCGCGAAAACCGUCGUCACCGCUAGCGUGCAGAGAGAAGGGGAUCCCGAAGCUUCUCCUCCUGGAGAGAGAUCGUCGCUGACGAUCACGACGGGGAACCUUCCGUCGCGGUAGUCGGAAACAGGAGGGAAAAGUGGGAUAGAGAAGAGAUCGUCGAGGAGACAA